RNAcentral lists this long non-coding RNA (764 nucleotides) under Coturnix japonica (Japanese quail). RNAcentral's name for it is "lncRNA (ENSCJPG00005001931.1)". The record is from RNAcentral. Lineage: Eukaryota; Metazoa; Chordata; Aves; Galliformes; Phasianidae.
UAUGGGACAAUGAAGGUGGGGGUCUCUGCUCUAUGGGACGAUGAAGUUGGGGGUCUCUGCUCUAUGGGACGUUGAAGGUGGGGGUCUCUGCUCUAUGGGGUGAUGAAGUUGGGGGUCUCUGCUCUAUGGGACGAUGAGGGUGGGGGUCUCGAAGCCUCAUCUCCCACCUCCCGGCUCGGGGUGUCCCCGCAGCUCCCGUUCCGUCCCCGCAGCUCCCGGUCCCUCCGCUGUGCGGAGCCUUAGAGCCGAGGCGAAGCACCGAACCCCCCCCCCCCUCCGGUUCCCCCCCCACCCCCGCUCCCGUUGGGCGUCACCGACGGAGCGAUGGCGGCGGGCGGAGCCCGUUGGAGACGGGGCAGGAAGUUCCUCCUCCCGGGCCGGGUCGGGUCGAACCGCUACCGGCGGAGGAGGCGGCGGUGCGAUGCGCACCGAGAGCGGCCGCUGGGGCGGACACGGUUCGGGUGUCUCCGGUUCGGGAUUCCGGGUCGGAUCCUGGAGCCGGAACCGGGGGGGCGAUGGCCGCGCUCCUCGCAAUGGGGCUGCUCCUCGUCGGCGCUCACGGGGCUCACGGGGACCCAGUAGGUGACAAGCGGGGCCAGCGAUGAUGGAGAGUGACACCUCAAAGUCGCUGCGGGGGGAGCGGCUGAUGGGGAUGGAGGAGGGAGUCAGGUGAGACCCCAGAGGCCGAUGGGUAUAAUGGGGUGGGGCUGGGGGUUACUGGGGCCUGGGGGGCGCUUGGCGGGGGCGCUGGAAGACCCAUAUGA